RNAcentral lists this ribosomal RNA (499 nucleotides) under uncultured Glomeromycotina. RNAcentral describes it as "partial small subunit ribosomal RNA". It matches the Rfam family "Eukaryotic small subunit ribosomal RNA", at positions 591 to 1092 of the family's 1831-position model. Lineage: Eukaryota; Fungi; Glomeromycota. The record is from RNAcentral.
CCAAUAGCGUAUAUUAAAGUUGUUGCAGUUAAAAAGCUCGUAGUUGAAUUUCGAGAUCAAAUUGUUGGUCGUGCCUUGGUACGCACUGGCAUUAUUGGUUUCUCCCUUCUGACGAACCAUGAUGUCAUUAAUUUGGUGUCUUGGGGAAUCAGGACUGUUACUUUGAAAAAAUAAGAGUGUUUAAAGCAGGCUCACGCUGGAAUACAUUAGAAUGGAAUAAUGACAUAGGACAUUUGAUUCUAUUUUGUUGGUUUCUAGGAUCGACGUAAUGAUUAAUAGGGAUAGUUGGGGGCAUUAGUAUUCAAUUGUCAGAGGUGAAAUUCUUGGAUUUAUUGAAGACUAACUACUGCGAAAGCAUUUGCCAAGGAUGUUUUCAUUAAUCAAGAACGAAAGUUAGGGGAUCGAAGACGAUCAGAUACCGUCGUAGUCUUAACCAUAAACUAUGCCGACUAGGGAUCGGAUGAUGUUAAUUUUUUAAUGACUCAUUCGGCGCCUUACG